UCAAUAUGAGUUCACGACCCCCCUUCACUCUCUCUCUGCGACCAUCUCCGGCGGCGGCAACCAUCUCCGACGGCGGUGACCAUUUUUAAUGGAUCUUCCUCCUCCUCUGCUUUCAUUAUAAAAUCGUAGUGGACUACCCUUCGUCUCAGUUCAACUCUCACCUCGCCGAAGCUCGGAAAUUAGGAGGAUAAGAAGUGGGUGGAGAUUGGGUGGGACGUGGGAGAGGAAAAUGAGGAGGAGAAGAAUAAAAGUUGGGGAGAGCCACGACCCUCGAUGCGGGCAACCCACGAUGCCUCGAAGGCCAACGAGUUCUCAGCAUAAACAAUGCACUGGUUGAUUUAUACGCCAAAUGUAAUGCCAUCGUGGAUGCAAAACGAGUCUUCUUUGGCAUGAGAACUCACGAUCAAGUUUCUUGGACUUCUAUAAUAUCUGGACUUUCCCAAAAUGGGCGUGGGAGCGAAGCCAUCUUCAUGUUUAAGGAAAUGUUGGUAACUCAGGKU
This is a non-coding RNA of Momordica charantia (bitter melon), 500 nucleotides long. NCBI's taxonomy places the organism in Eukaryota, Viridiplantae, Streptophyta, Magnoliopsida, Cucurbitales, Cucurbitaceae. The record is from RefSeq and is a predicted model, not a curated record.